GGAACAUAAUCAGUCUUUUGGCGCAUGAAGGAGGGCAUGCGCUUACUAUUUUUCCUUUCCUAUUGAACAUAUUACUUUCUGCAUGAAAUAUAGUUUAUUUACAUUUUAGAGUACCUGAGGAUUGAAUUAAAACAUUGUUUGACUUGUUUGGAUGAAGUUUAGCGGUAGCUUUUCUGACUCCUUUGCAUGUUGAACGAGUGGAUUACUGAAAUCGAUGGAGCCAACUAAACAAACUGUUUGGGAUAUAAAGAAUGAUUUUAUCCAACAAAACAACCAUUCAUGUUGUAGCUGGGACCCUUGGGAUUGCAAACAGAGGAAGGUCUUCAAAAGGGGAAAAUGUUGGUGUCCUGGCCAGGAACAACUCCAACACCAUCAUCAAGUUUGCUGACGACACAACGGUGGUAGGCCUGAUCACCAGCGAUAAUGAGUCUGCCUACAGGGAGGAGGUCAGUGACCUGGCAGUGUGAUGCCAGAGCAACAACCUCUCCCUCAAUGUCAGUAAGACCAAGGAGCUGAUCGUGGACUACAGGAAACAAGGCACGCCCCCAUCCACAUCGACGAGGCUACAGUGGAGCAGGUCAAGAGCUUCAAGUUCUUCGGUGUCCAAAUUACUAAAAUGUUGGCGAAGAGGAUGGCUGACGUUUUAAAUGUUCCUGACUGAUUGUUCUUUUUUGUAUGUUUUUUUGCAUUGUUUGUAACUUAUUUGUUUAGUUAUUUUGUACAUAAUGCUGCUGCCACCAUCUCUUAUGACGAAAAUAACUUCUGGACAUCAGAACAGCGAUUACUCACCACAAACUGGUUGAACCUUUAUCCUUUAACGAGUCCGACAAGAAGGACAUACUGCUCUCCUGGGAACAGGCCCAAAUCCCGGUCAUUUGCGUGAAGAAAAGACUGAGGACAAGAGGACACAUACAUUGGGCUGCCGGGAAAUCCGUAGGUUGCUGACAUCCACUUGCUAACAUGCAAUCAUUAGAAAAUAAAAUGGAUAACCUACGAUUACGAUUAUCCUACCAACGGGACAUUAAGAACUGUAAUAUCUUAUGUUUCACCGAUUCCUGAUUGAACGACAACACGGAUAAUAUAGUGCUGGCAGGUUUUUCCAUGCACCUGGCAGAACAUAAAUGAUACUUCUGGUAA
Molecule: long non-coding RNA, 1137 nt
Organism: Oncorhynchus masou masou (cherry salmon)
Lineage: Eukaryota; Metazoa; Chordata; Actinopteri; Salmoniformes; Salmonidae
Exons: 2
Source: RefSeq, a predicted model, not a curated record